This is a non-coding RNA of Podarcis lilfordi (Lilford's wall lizard), 68 nucleotides long. The record is from the annotation of a GenBank genome assembly. Lineage: Eukaryota; Metazoa; Chordata; Lepidosauria; Squamata; Lacertidae.
UUGUAGCUCAGUAGGAGAACAUCUGCCUUGCCUGAAUAAGGACCCGGGUUCAAUCCCAGGCAUCACAA